AUUGAACGCUGGCGGCAGGCUUAACACGUGCAAGUCGAGCGGGGUGAUGGUGCUUGCACUAUCACUUAGCGGCGGACGGGUGAGUAAUGCUUAGGAAUCUGCCUAUUAGUGGGGGACAACAUCCCGAAAGGGAUGCUAAUACCGCAUACGUCCUACGGGAGAAAGCAGGGGAUCACUUGUGACCUUGCGCUAAUAGAUGAGCCUAAGUCGGAUUAGCUAGUUGGUGGGGUAAAGGCCUACCAAGGCGACGAUCUGUAGCGGGUCUGAGAGGAUGAUCCGCCACACUGGGACUGAGACACGGCCCAGACUCCUACGGGAGGCAGCAGUGGGGAAUAUUGGACAAUGGGGGGAACCCUGAUCCAGCCAUGCCGCGUGUGUGAAGAAGGCCUUAUGGUUGUAAAGCACUUUAAGCGAGGAGGAGGCUCUUUUGGUUAAUACCCAAGAUGAGUGGACGUUACUCGCAGAAUAAGCACCGGCUAACUCUGUGCCAGCAGCCGCGGUAA
RNAcentral lists this ribosomal RNA (503 nucleotides) under uncultured bacterium. RNAcentral's name for it is "partial 16S ribosomal RNA". It matches the Rfam family "Bacterial small subunit ribosomal RNA", at positions 30 to 523 of the family's 1533-position model. The record is from RNAcentral.